UACGUAGGGGGCGAGCGUUAUCCGGAAUUAUUGGGCGUAAAGAGUGCGUAGGUGGCUCUUUAAGCGCAGGGUUUAAGGCUACGGCUUAACUGUAGUUCGCCCUGCGAACUGAGGGGCUUGAGUGCAGGAGGGGAAAGCGGAAUUCCUAGUGUAGCGGUGAAAUGCGUAGAUAUUAGGAGGAACACCAGUGGCGAAGGCGGCUUUCUGGACUGAAACUGACACUGAGGCACGAAAGCGUGGGGAGC
Molecule: ribosomal RNA, 245 nt
Filed under: uncultured Eubacteriales bacterium
Lineage: Bacteria; Bacillati; Bacillota; Clostridia; Eubacteriales
Description: uncultured Clostridiales bacterium partial 16S ribosomal RNA
Rfam family: Bacterial small subunit ribosomal RNA
Source: RNAcentral